GAUGAACGCUGGCGGCGUGCCUAAUACAUGCAAGUCGAGCGAACAGACGAGGAGCUUGCUCCUCUGACGUUAGCGGCGGACGGGUGAGUAACACGUGGAUAACCUACCUAUAAGACUGGGAUAACUUCGGGAAACCGGAGCUAAUACCGGAUAAUAUAUUGAACCGCAUGGUUAAAUAGGGAAAGACGGUUUUGCUGUCACUUAUAGAUGGAUCCGCGCCGCAUUAGCUAGUUGGUAAGGUAACGGCUUACCAAGGCAACGAUGCGUAGCCGACCUGAGAGGGUGAUCGGCCACACUGGAACUGAGACACGGUCCAGACUCCUACGGGAGGCAGCAGUAGGGAAUCUUCCGCAAUGGGCGAAAGCCUGACGGAGCAACGCCGCGUGAGUGAUGAAGGUCUUCGGAUCGUAAAACUCUGUUAUUAGGGAAGAACAAAUGUGUAAGUAACUAUGCACGUCUUGACGGUACCUAAUCAGAAAGCCACGGCUAACUACGUG
RNAcentral lists this ribosomal RNA (497 nucleotides) under uncultured bacterium. Its description in RNAcentral is "partial 16S ribosomal RNA". It matches the Rfam family "Bacterial small subunit ribosomal RNA", at positions 28 to 507 of the family's 1533-position model. The record is from RNAcentral.